Molecule: long non-coding RNA, 210 nt
Filed under: Capsicum annuum
Lineage: Eukaryota; Viridiplantae; Streptophyta; Magnoliopsida; Solanales; Solanaceae
Description: long non-coding RNA (CANN_LNC013647)
Source: RNAcentral
CCCUGCUGACUCAUAAAGGAACCAAACUUCCUCUAUCACUGUCUGGGAGCUUGUUUCAAACUGUAACGCCCUAAGUUUGUACCCCGGACACUACACAGUGCUUACGACCAUGAAGGACGACAAGCUAAACCAUGACUGAUAACUAUUAUAAGCACUGAAUAAUAAUAUUGAAAUAAAUAUGAAAAAUAGGUUGAAAUGCCAUAAGGUUCA